RNAcentral lists this ribosomal RNA (365 nucleotides) under uncultured organism. RNAcentral describes it as "bacterial SSU rRNA". It matches the Rfam family "Bacterial small subunit ribosomal RNA", at positions 526 to 896 of the family's 1533-position model. The record is from RNAcentral.
CGGAGGAUCCAAGCGUUAUCCGGAAUCAUUGGGUUUAAAGGGUCCGUAGGCGGUUUUGUAAGUCAGUGGUGAAAGCCCAUCGCUCAACGGUGGAACGGCCAUUGAUUCUGCAAGACUUGAAUUAUUGGGAAGUAACUAGAAUAUGUAGUGUAGCGGUGAAAUGCUUAGAGAUUACAUGGAAUACCAAUUGCGAAGGCAGGUUACUACCAAUAUAUUGACGCUGAUGGACGAAAGCGUGGGGAGCGAACAGGAUUAGAUACCCUGGUAGUCCACGCCGUAAACGAUGGAUACUAGCUGUUCGGAGCAAUCUGAGUGCUAAGCGAAAGUGAUAAGUAUCCCACCUGGGGAGUACGUUCGCAAGAAUG